Long non-coding RNA from Saccostrea cuccullata (small rock oyster), 1192 nucleotides. RefSeq lists it as uncharacterized. The transcript is spliced from 6 exons. The record is from RefSeq and is a predicted model, not a curated record. NCBI's taxonomy places the organism in Eukaryota, Metazoa, Mollusca, Bivalvia, Ostreida, Ostreidae.
GUAUGUUCAAAAUCUUGUGAUGUAUAUUCAAUAUCUUGUGAUGUAUAUUCGAAAUCUUGUGAUGUAUAUUCUAUAAUCUUGUGAUGUAUGUUCGAAAUCUUGUGAUGUAUAUUCGAAAUCUUGUGAUGUAUGUUUGAUAAUCUUGUGAUGUAUAUUCGAAAUCUUGUGAUGUAUGUUCGAUAAUCUUGUGAUGUAUAUUCGAAAUCUUGUGAUGUGUGUUCUACAAUUCAGUGAUGCGUGCAAUAAAAUUGCAUGACGCAACAGAAAAGUAAGGACAAUUUUCAUUGGUUAGAAAUAACGAAAGUAGCCGGAGCGGUCGUAAUGCACACAUUGACACAACUUCGCAAGCAUGAAAUUGACGAAUUCAACCUAAAGUCAAAAUUAUAGGAACUUUACGUAGGUCUACAGUUUUAAUUUUGGACUCAUGCACUAGGAAUAUCAUAUCAGCAGAAUUGUGCCACUGAAUCAAAGGGAACUCUUUUUUUUUAGGUACGCAUGAUCGAUGUAACUUCCUCGAUGGUGUGUUGGCUGUUUGCCCAUGUGUAUUUCGGGGUAUAGGAGUAGCCUCCCCUUUUAAAGAUCAAAAAUGGUGAUUUUACAGUGCGGCAUGCAGUCUGGUCUUCAACGAAGAGUUUUGACACCUGUAAUACCCAUAUUUCUACCAUUCACCUCUGUAACCUUUGUUGAGUUCAUCAGACUGUCACUAGGCAACACUAAAGAUUUCCACUUAUUGCUUUUCUGUCCAAGACAGGAAGUUGAGGAACAAAGUUGACAGGACAUCCUGAACUGUCUUCGCUACCAGCUUAUGAGGGAACCAGCUGCAGUGGACAAAGUAUGUUACAUCAUAGGAUAAUAGCAUUGAAUUGGAUUCUUGAACCAGAGCCAUGUGAACCUGGUCCACCUGUACCUCUCAUUGAAGACCUGUUAACAUCACCAGAGUAUGUUCAUUCUGAUACCCCUAUGGUAUGGUUACAGCAUGCAUUAUCCCUGAAUCCAUUAAAAGAGCUGCAUUGGCAAUGAAACAACCCAAUGUGGUCGAUUGUAAGGAAACAUAGCAUAUCAGCUUCCAACUUUGGUGCAGUUCUCAGUUCUAAGCAAAGGCGAUUGACAUUGUCACUGAAGAAACAGCUGAUGUCGGCUUACAAUCUGGAGUCCAUCAAGGCUGUUGCAUGGGGUAUCACUCAUGAAGAUG